RNAcentral lists this microRNA precursor (76 nucleotides) under Myotis davidii. RNAcentral describes it as "mir-9229 microRNA precursor family". It matches the Rfam family "mir-9229 microRNA precursor family". The record is from Rfam by way of RNAcentral. Lineage: Eukaryota; Metazoa; Chordata; Mammalia; Chiroptera; Vespertilionidae.
GAGACAAACUUCCGGGGCAAGACUUGCUUCAAUGAGGCUUUGGUGCUCACUGAGUCUGCCCCCUGAGUGUGUCCUU